This 252-nucleotide ribosomal RNA is filed under the name uncultured bacterium. RNAcentral's name for it is "partial 16S ribosomal RNA". It matches the Rfam family "Bacterial small subunit ribosomal RNA", at positions 109 to 354 of the family's 1533-position model. The record is from RNAcentral.
AGUAACACGUGAGUGACCUGCCUUUUAGACUGGAACAACUUACCGAAAGGUGAGCUAAUGCCGGAUGAGUUAUAUAAGUGCAUGUCUAUAUAGGAAAAGUUGGGGAGACCUGACGCUGAAAGAUGGACUCGCGUCCCAUUAGCUAGUUGGUAGGGUAAUGGCCUACCAAGGCGACGAUGGGUAGCCGGCCUGAGAGGGUGGCCGGCCACACUGGGACUGAGACACGGCCCAGACUCCUACGGAAGGCAGCAG